UAUAGAGUUUUCUAAACUCCCAACCCAUGUGAACUUACCUUUUGUUGCCUCGGCAGAAGUUAUAGGUCUUCUUAUAGCUGCUGCCGGUGGACCAUUAAACUCUUGUUAUUUUAUGUAAUCUGAGCGUCUUAUUUUAAUAAGUCAAAACUUUCAACAACGGAUCUCUUGGUUCUGGCAUCGAUGAAGAACGCAGCGAAAUGCGAUAAGUAAUGUGAAUUGCAGAAUUCAGUGAAUCAUCGAAUCUUUGAACGCACAUUGCCCCCAUUAGUAUUCUAGGGGGCAUGGCUGUUCGAGCGUCAUUUCAACCCUUAAGCCUAGCUUAGUGUUGGGAAUCUACUUCUCUUAGGAGUUGUAGUUCCUGAAAUACAACGGCGGAUUUGUAGUAUCCUCUGAGCGUAGUAAUUUCUUUCUCGCUUUUGUUAGGUGCUAUAACUCCCAGCCGCUAAACCCCCAAUUUUUUGUGGUUGACCUCGGAUCAGGUAGGAAUACCCGCUGAACUUAAGCAUAUCAAUAAGCGGAGGAAAAGAAACCAACAGGGAUUGCCUUAGUAACGGCGAGUGAAGCGGCAACAGCUCAAAUUUGAAAUCUGGCCCUUGGGUCCGAAUUGUAAUUUGUAGAGGAUGAUUUUGGGCGGUAUCUUCCGAGUUCCUUGGAACAGGACGCCUUAAGGGUGAGAGCCCCGUACGGUUGAAUGCCUAGCCUCUGUAAAUCUCCUUCGACGAGUCGAGUAGUUUGGGAAUGCUGCUCUAAAUGGGAGGUAAAUUUUCUUCUAAAGCUAAAUA
This 782-nucleotide ribosomal RNA is filed under the name Sordariomycetes sp. TC270. Its description in RNAcentral is "eukaryotic LSU rRNA". The stretch from base 466 to 782 matches the Rfam family "Eukaryotic large subunit ribosomal RNA", at positions 1 to 322 of the family's 3401-position model. Lineage: Eukaryota; Fungi; Ascomycota; Sordariomycetes. The record is from RNAcentral.